CGCUGGCGGCGUGCCUAAUACAUGCAAGUCGAGCGAACUGAUUAGAAGCUUGCUUCUAUGACGUUAGCGGCGGACGGGUGAGUAACACGUGGGCAACCUGCCUGUAAGACUGGGAUAACUUCGGGAAACCGAAGCUAAUACCGGAUAGGAUCUUCUCCUUCAUGGGAGAUGAUUGAAAGAUGGUUUCGGCUAUCACUUGCAGAUGGGCCCGCGGUGCAUUAGCUAGUUGGUGAGGUAACGGCUCACCAAGGCAACGAUGCAUAGCCGACCUGAGAGGGUGAUCGGCCACACUGGGACUGAGACACGGCCCAGACUCCUACGGGAGGCAGCAGUAGGGAAUCUUCCGCAAUGGACGAAAGUCUGACGGAGCAACGCCGCGUGAGUGAUGAAGGCUUUCGGGUCGUAAAACUCUGUUGUUAGGGAAGAACAAGUACAAGAGUAACUGCUUGUACCUUGACGGUACCUAACCAGAAAGCCACGGCU
This 483-nucleotide ribosomal RNA is filed under the name uncultured bacterium. RNAcentral's name for it is "bacterial SSU rRNA". It matches the Rfam family "Bacterial small subunit ribosomal RNA", at positions 34 to 498 of the family's 1533-position model. The record is from RNAcentral.